RNAcentral lists this ribosomal RNA (492 nucleotides) under uncultured bacterium. Its description in RNAcentral is "partial 16S ribosomal RNA". It matches the Rfam family "Bacterial small subunit ribosomal RNA", at positions 29 to 507 of the family's 1533-position model. The record is from RNAcentral.
AGUGAACGCUGGCGGUAGGCCUAACACAUGCAAGUCGAACGGCAGCACAGUAAGAGCUUGCUCUUACGGGUGGCGAGUGGCGGACGGGUGAGGAAUACAUCGGAAUCUACUUUUUCGUGGGGGAUAACGUAGGGAAACUUACGCUAAUACCGCAUACGACCUACGGGUGAAAGCAGGGGAUCUUCGGACCUUGCGCGAUUGAAUGAGCCGAUGUCGGAUUAGCUAGUUGGCGGGGUAAAGGCCCACCAAGGCGACGAUCCGUAGCUGGUCUGAGAGGGUGAUCAGCCACACUGGAACUGAGACACGGUCCAGACUCCUACGGGAGGCAGCAGUGGGGAAUAUUGGACAAUGGGCGCAAGCCUGAUCCAGCCAUACCGCGUGGGUGAAGAAGGCCUUCGGGUUGUAAAGCCCUUUUGUUGGGGAAGAAAAGCAGCAGGUGAAUACCCCGCUGUUCUGACGGUACCCAAAGAAUAAGCACCGGCUAACUUCGUG